GUUAAUUGGCCCUAAAUUAAAUUUUCUCCCUUCAGCAAGCACUCAUUAAGCAGUUAGGCUGAGUGUGUUAAGAUGCAGAGUUAAGUUUGUGAGGUAUUGAAAGGUGAUGCUGAAACUGGGAUUUCAUUCCAGCGUCAGAUGUGGGUUUCAAGUUCCUUUGGUCCAGGGAAGGGACUGGGCAGCCACAGGUGCCCCCAAGUUGCUUUUGGUUAUUCUCCCAACAAGGUCAGAUGUGCCAU
This 239-nucleotide long non-coding RNA is filed under the name Bos taurus (domestic cattle). RNAcentral's name for it is "long non-coding RNA NONBTAT015787". The record is from RNAcentral. Lineage: Eukaryota; Metazoa; Chordata; Mammalia; Artiodactyla; Bovidae.